UGGGGAAUUUUGGACAAUGGGCGAAAGCCUGAUCCAGCAAUGCCGCGUGUGUGAAGAAGGCCUUCGGGUUGUAAAGCACUUUUGUCCGGAAAGAAAUCCUUGGCUCUAAUACAGUCGGGGGAUGACGGUACCGGAAGAGUAAGCACCGGCUAACUACGUGCCAGCAGCCGCGGUAAUACGUAGGGUGCAAGCGUUAAUCGGAAUUACUGGGCGUAAAGCGUGCGCAGGCGGUUUGCUAAGACCGAUGUGAAAUCCCCGGGCUCAACCUGGGAACUGCAUUGGUGACUGGCAGGCUAGAGUAUGGCAGAGGGGGGUAGAAUUCCACGUGUAGCAGUGAAAUGCGUAGAGAUGUGGAGGAAUACCGAUGGCGAAGGCAGCCCCCUGGGCCAAUACUGACGCUCAUGCACGAAAGCGUGGGGAGCAAACAGGAUUAGAUACCCUGGUAGUCCACGCCCUAAACGAUGUCAACUAGUUGUUGGGGAUUCAUUUCCUUAGUAACGUAGCUAACGCGUGAAGUUGACCGCCUGGGGAGUACGGUCGCAAGAUUAAAAGCUCAAAAGGAUUUGACGGGGGCUCAUAGCAGUGUUUUU
This 590-nucleotide ribosomal RNA is filed under the name uncultured bacterium. RNAcentral's name for it is "partial 16S ribosomal RNA". It matches the Rfam family "Bacterial small subunit ribosomal RNA", at positions 355 to 936 of the family's 1533-position model. The record is from RNAcentral.